AGAUUGAACGCUGGCGGCAGGCCUAACACAUGCAAGUCGAGCGGUAAGGCCUUUCGGGGUACACGAGCGGCGAACGGGUGAGUAACACGUGGGUGAUCUGCCCUGCACUCUGGGAUAAGCCUGGGAAACUGGGUCUAAUACCGGAUAUGACCUGCUCGUCGCAGUGGGGGUGGUGGAAAGAUUUAGCGGUGCAGGAUGGGCCCGCGGCCUAUCAGUCUUUGGUUGGUGGGGUAAUGGCCUACCGAAGGCGACGGACGGGUAGCCGACCUGGAGAGGGUGACCGGCCACGACGUGGGACUGAGACACGGCCCAGACUCCGUACGGGAGCAGCGAGGUCGGGAAU
Molecule: ribosomal RNA, 343 nt
Filed under: uncultured soil bacterium
Lineage: Bacteria
Description: bacterial SSU rRNA
Rfam family: Bacterial small subunit ribosomal RNA
Source: RNAcentral